Bombina bombina (fire-bellied toad) is the source of this 1457-nucleotide long non-coding RNA. RefSeq lists it as uncharacterized. The transcript has 2 exons. The record is from RefSeq and is a predicted model, not a curated record. Lineage: Eukaryota; Metazoa; Chordata; Amphibia; Anura; Bombinatoridae.
GAUGCCUAUCCUUUAACUGAACGGCUCUUAACUCCCAUAGCAAAUCCAAAGAAUGCAGCAGAAAAAAAGUAUAAUGAAGCACAUUGUACUGCACACUCAGUCAUUGAACGUACCUUUGGAUCCCUCAAAAGUCGCUUCCGUUGUCUAGAUCGCUCAGGAGGAGUGCUGCAAUAUUCACCAGAAAAGGGGGCACAGAUUAUCCUUGCUUGUUGCAUUUUGCAUAACUUGGCAGUCAGUCGAAAUCUGGAUGUUGACAUUCUUGAAGACCUUGAUGCACCACCUCCUGUUGCAGCAAUUCCAGAGGAGGAGAACACAGAAGUAGGAAAGCAGACCAGAUUGCAAGUACUCAACAGAUAUUUCACAUGAGACACAUUAUCAGGAAUAUCUGUUCUCAAUAAUAUUGGAUGGCUUACACUCUACGUGUCCUAUAAGAGACUUUCAAAGUCAUGUGUAUCUUAAUUAUGUAGAAUUGUAUACCUAAAAUGUAUACGUUUAGUUUGUAGGGAUUGUUAGCAUUGAACAAUUGCUCUACCAUGUAAGGAAACAAAACACUAUUUUGUAAUGCAAAUGCUUGUUACAAAACAUUUAAUGAUUCUAGGAUAAUCAGAAGUAUGACUUGUUUAAUUAAAACUCCAUUAUCAGACCAGGUUUGUUUACUUUUUCUGUAGUGAUUAAAGGGACAGUAAACACCAAUUUUCAUUUAACUGCAUAGACACUACUAUAAAGAAUACUAUGCACAGAUACUGAUAUAAAAAUCCAGUAUAAUACCUUAUAAAAACUUGCUUAGAAGCUCCUAAUUUAGCACUGUUAAUGAAGUUAGGCAGGGACACCCACUGAAAGCAAACCCUCCCCCCUCCCCUGCAUAUGAAAAGACUAAUUAUACAAACAGAAGCUAUCUGAAGUCUGUAUACAUCAGUAUACAUCUAAAACUUUAGGGCUUGGUUAGGAGUCUGAAAAUCAGCACAAUGAUAUUUAAAAAUAAGCAAAAUUAUACACUUUCUUUUUUUGUGUUUGUCUGUGCAUCUGUCUUCCUAGAAUGCAAUAAAUGAAAAAUUAAACUGUAGUUUAUUUUUUACAUUUGCAAUGUGCACAAUUUGUUACAAGCUUUUGUAGAUUCUUAUUUUAAGCAUACCUAAUGUACUUGUCCUCCAGAAUUGUUAGCCAAAUAGUGUAUAGAUUUUUAAACACUUGUUUACUCUAUAGUCAAUAUAGUGUACUCUGAAUGCCAUUUGUAUUGAUGUACAUAUAUGCAUUAAUAUUUGUAGUUUAUGAAAUCUGUAGAUAACUGGUCUCAUCUACUUUUGUAUGCCAACAUAUUGGCCCUAUGCAUUUCCUUCCAUCUUGAUUUAUAUUUUGUGUAUUGAUUGAUGUUAUUGAGUCUGACUACACUCCUGACAUUUCACCUUAAACUUAUUGUAUGUUUAUUUCACUGAAUAUAAAGGCUUAUAAAACCAAAA